CAGGGAGAAAGUUGGGGGGAAGGGGCUGUGUAGAGGGCCAGGCAAGCACUCUUGCUCCACACCCAGACUCUGCGCAAUUUACACAUGGGAAAGAUUGGAAAGGUCAUGUGACGUCAGCUUGGCCCACACAUUGGAAUGGGAAUCUGUUGGCAAAGUGAAAAUUAUUGGUCUCGCAAAACUGAGAUGGGAACAUCGACCUGAAAAGAAUGCAUCUUAUGGUUUUUACAAUGCCAUUUAGGAAUAUGACAUGAAUAUCCCAAAGUACAGAUGUAAGAAUGUGAAUUUUAAGUUCAAUAGAGAAGAAGGGAGAGAAAGAGAUAGAAAGGAGGAGAGGAAAAGACAGCAUGCCAUUUUUCAAGACGUAACUCUUAGCAUCUCUUUUUCUUUCCCGGAAAGUACUGAAUAUUGAUAAGAAUUGUGAAGACUCUGAGGCCUCCCAGUAUUUUGGAGAACAUUUCACAAAGCAAACUUUAGUCAUGUAAAAUGGGUAAACAUGAUGUGAAAUGUAUUAACACAUUUGGUGAAUUCUGCAAAUAUAUUUUUACACAAUUAGCCUAAUUAUUUAGAUACAUAUUAAACCUUGCUUGCCUCAAGCAAUUUAACAUGGAAUGUAAUUUCACAUAUUAUCACAAGAAAAACACAUUUAUAGAAAAUCUGUGGCUUGCCUUUCAUCAUAACACUUCAACCCAUCAUUAUUUGAGAUAUAAAUAGAUAGUGUAUAUUUCAAGGAUGAUGAACACUGUAUUUCCGGAGAAAGUGUCUCCUAAUCCAGUCAGUACUUGGUCCCCUAAAUCCAUCUCUGUUCAUUUGUUAUGUUGAAAUAGACACUGGUACUGAUGCAUCGGUGAUACAAUAACAAUAUACAAAACAGAGUGUCCCCCCCCAUUCUGAACUGAAAAGAUUUGCUAUCAUUUAUUUUGAGGGGCUUUAAAAGAGAAGAGCACACAGAACUAAUUCAAAAAGACUUGCAGAGGAGGCGAGAUGACUGUAGUUCUGCAUGUUCCCCUGUUUGCAAGCCAACAGGAGUCACUUCAACUUUAAAAAUCCUGCUCAACAGUCAUUGCGCACUGUCUUUCCAUUCGUAUUUUCAAUGGACUGUGUGGAGCAUUACUUCCUGAGAGAUCAAAUUAUUUGGAAAUCCUUUUAUCAGUCAUUUUCGCGACAGAAAAAGGGGAGCAUUGAUGAUAAGAACACUUUAUGUUUGAAUGGUGAUUAAAAGAUUUUUAAAGAGCUUCCACACACAUCAUUUUAUUGUGGAACAACUUGAUGAUCUAGGCAGUAUUUCAUAUUGGCCGUUUAUAUUUAAAGAAACUCUCUUUUACAAAGGGAGAAAAUAAAUUACAGAGAGAAAUAACUUGCCAUAGUCACUUGAACUGUGACCACACAGACAGAAGUAUUUUUAUCAAAUAUGUUUUUGGCAUUUUACUAUAUGACAAACAACAGCAUUUUGAAGUGAAG
This 1458-nucleotide long non-coding RNA is filed under the name Equus caballus (horse). Its description in RNAcentral is "lncRNA (ENSECAG00000057777.1)". Lineage: Eukaryota; Metazoa; Chordata; Mammalia; Perissodactyla; Equidae. The record is from RNAcentral.